AGGAUUAACGCUGGCGGCGUGCAUGAGACAUGCAAGUCGAACGGGUGACUCGGGCUUGCUCGAGUCGCUAGUGGCGGACGGCUGAGUAACGCGUAGGUGACUUGCCCUGAAGUGGGGAAUAACUGCCCGAAAGGGUGGCUAAUACCGCAUGUGGUGGUGCGUUCAUUCGCACCAGUAAAGCCGCAAGGCGCUUCAGGAGAGGCCUGCGUCCGAUUAGCUCGUUGGUGGGGUAACGGCUCACCAAAGGCGACGAUCGGUAGGUGGUCUGAGAGGACGAUCACCCAGACUGGGACUGAGACACGGCCCAGACUCCUACGGGAGGCAGCAGUCGGGAAUUUGCG
RNAcentral lists this ribosomal RNA (341 nucleotides) under uncultured soil bacterium. RNAcentral's name for it is "bacterial SSU rRNA". It matches the Rfam family "Bacterial small subunit ribosomal RNA", at positions 26 to 367 of the family's 1533-position model. The record is from RNAcentral.